CUCCAUCUCUUGGAAAAUUAGGCAACUUAAGAAAUUUGAGCUUAGGAACAAAUGACCUUUCUGGUCCCAUUCCAAGAGAGAUAGGUGACUUAAGAAGAUUGAAGUUUCUUUACUUAUGGGGCAAUAAUCUUUCGGGAUCCAUACCUUCGGAGAUUGGGAGGUUAACCAAUCUUAUUGAAUUAUAUUUUUAUGAAAAUAAGUUGGUUGGGCAUAUCCCUGCUUCACUAGGAAACCUGAGCAGUCUAAAUGUUCUUUAUCUUUGGGGAAACCAGUUUUCGGGGUCCAUUCCUCCAUCUCUUGGAAAACUAGGCAACUUAAGAUAUUUGUGCUUAGAAACAAAUGACCUUUCUGGUCCAAUUCCAAGAGAGAUAGGUGACUUAAGAAGAUUGAAGUUUCUUUACUUAUGGGGCAAUAAUCUUUCGGGAUCCAUACCUUCGGAGAUUGGGAAGCUAACCGAUCUUAUUGAAUUAUGUUUUUAUGAAAAUAAGUUGGUCGGGCAUAUCCCUGCUUCACUGGAAAACCUGAGCAGUCUAAAUGUUCUCUAUCUUUGGGGAAACCAACUUUCAGGGUCCAUUCCUCCAUCUCUUGGAAAAUUAGGCAACUUAAGAAAUUUGAGCUUAAGCACAAAUGAC
Molecule: long non-coding RNA, 632 nt
Filed under: Eucalyptus grandis
Lineage: Eukaryota; Viridiplantae; Streptophyta; Magnoliopsida; Myrtales; Myrtaceae
Description: long non-coding RNA (EGRA_LNC005513)
Source: RNAcentral